ACGGGACCCGCACAAGCAGCGGAGCGUGUGGUUUAAUUCGAUGCUACACGAACGAACCUUACCAAGGUUUGACAUGUAAGUGGUAGUGAUCUGAAAGUGAACGACCCUUCGGGGAGCUUACACAGGUGCUGCAUGGCUGUCGUCAGCUCGUGUCGUGAGAUGUUCGGUUAAGUCCGCUAACGAGCGCAACCCUCACUGUGUGUUACAUGUGUCACACGGGACUGCCGGUUUUAAGCCGGAGGAAGGCGAGGAUGACGUCAAGUCAGCAUGGCCUUUAUAUCUUGGGCUACACACACGCUACAAUGGUCUGUACAAUAGGUUGCCAAGCCGCGAGGCGGAGCCAAUCCUUAAAGCAGGCCUCAGUUCAGAUUGCAGGCUGCAACCCGCCUGCAUGAAGAUGGAGUUGCUAGUAACCGCAGGUCAGCUAUACUGCGGUGAAUACGUUCCCGGGUCUU
Molecule: ribosomal RNA, 455 nt
Filed under: uncultured Anaerolineaceae bacterium
Lineage: Bacteria; Bacillati; Chloroflexota; Anaerolineae; Anaerolineales; Anaerolineaceae
Description: bacterial SSU rRNA
Rfam family: Bacterial small subunit ribosomal RNA
Source: RNAcentral